This 253-nucleotide ribosomal RNA is filed under the name uncultured bacterium. RNAcentral's name for it is "partial 16S ribosomal RNA". It matches the Rfam family "Bacterial small subunit ribosomal RNA", at positions 524 to 776 of the family's 1533-position model. The record is from RNAcentral.
UACGUAGGGACCAAGCGUUGUCCGGAAUCAUUGGGCGUAAAGAGCGUGUAGGCGGCUUGUUAAGUCUUGCGUGAAAUCUCGGGGCUCAACCCCGAGCGGUCGUGAGAAACUGGCAGGCUAGAGUGCGGGAGAGGAGAGUGGAAUUCCUGGUGUAGCGGUGAAAUGCGCAGAUAUCAGGAAGAACACCCGUGGCGAAGGCGGCUCACUGGCCCGAUACUGACGCUGAGGCACGAAAGCGUGGGGAGCAAACAGG